Non-coding RNA from Phthorimaea operculella (potato tuberworm), 78 nucleotides. Lineage: Eukaryota; Metazoa; Arthropoda; Insecta; Lepidoptera; Gelechiidae. The record is from the annotation of a GenBank genome assembly.
GUUCACAUGAUGUGACGCUGUGGUUAGUAUGACUGCCUGCAACGCAGAAGGUUCCGGGUUCAAUUCCCGGUGAGAUCA